RNAcentral lists this ribosomal RNA (233 nucleotides) under uncultured bacterium. Its description in RNAcentral is "partial 16S ribosomal RNA". It matches the Rfam family "Bacterial small subunit ribosomal RNA", at positions 103 to 334 of the family's 1533-position model. The record is from RNAcentral.
CGGGUGAGUAACGCGUGAGGGAACCGCUCCAAAGAAGGGGGACAACAGUUGGAAACGGCUGCUAAUACCGCAUAAGCCACGGCUCGGCAUCGAGCAGAGGGAAAAGGAGCAAUCCGCUUUGAGAUGGCCUCGCGUCCGAUUAGCUAGUUGGUGAGGUAAUGGCCCACCAAGGCAACGAUCGGUAGCCGGACUGAGAGGUUGAACGGCCACAUUGGGACUGAGACACGGCCCAG